CACCACCGCUGUGAUCAGCUUCCUGCCGCCCAGACCACGCAGCUAGGCUCCGCCCCAAGGCAGCUAGGCUCCGCCCCCCAGAGCCUUGGGCAGGAGGUGACGUCAGGGUGGUCAGCAGAGGCUCGGCUGGACGUCAGCCGCGGCGACACCACCGAAAGCCUGAGGUGGGCGAGGGGAAGGAGACCAAGCUCUGGGGACCCUCCUGAGAUCAGGGGCGCACCCCCGGGACACAGCCCUGCCCCGGAGCGAAGCGGACGCAGGAGAUUUGGAGGCACCACCCCUGAUGGACACGGCCUAUUCGGGCUGCUCCUGUGUCUUCACUGUACCAUAACCUUCUCCACCAGGUGGGACCCCAGGGAUCGCCUUCCAAAUCUGUUUGGGGCGCUGGCAUGAAGUGGGCAGCCAGGGGAGGUUAGGCUUGGGGGCGGGGUAGGGGUGGGUGAGGGUCACUCCAGACAAGCCUGUCCUGGUUGAAGCGGGUCACUAUACUCAGAGGACACGUUGCUGACGGUAAUGUCUGGACAGGCCAGCAGGGCGUGAGGGCGCUCAGAGAGACGUGGCGCCCGCAGGCAGAGGGACACACGCUCACGUGUGCACACACGCACCCUAGCGGGGCCCCCAGGACUCCCUGGAGACUGGGGUUUGCACCUCAGCUGCUGGAAGCCCUG
RNAcentral lists this long non-coding RNA (668 nucleotides) under Bos indicus x Bos taurus (hybrid cattle). RNAcentral describes it as "lncRNA (ENSBIXG00005026877.1)". Lineage: Eukaryota; Metazoa; Chordata; Mammalia; Artiodactyla; Bovidae. The record is from RNAcentral.